UUCGGGGGUGAUGCCUGUGGAAUGAGCGGCGGACGGGUGAGUAACACGUGGGCAACCUGCCUGUAAGAUCGGAAUAACUCCGGGAAACCGGGGCUAAUGCCGGGUAAUCCUUUUUCUCGCAUGGGAGAGAGGUAAAAGAUGGCCUUUGGCUAUCACUUACAGAUGGGCCCGCGACGCAUUAGCUAGUUGGUGAGGUAAUAGCUCACCAAGGCGACGAUGCGUAGCCGACCUGAGAGGGUGAUCGGCCACACUGGGACUGAGACACGGCCCAGAYUCCUACGGGAGGCAGCAGUAGGGAAUCUUCCGCAAUGGACGAAAGUCUGACGGAGCAACGCCGCGUGAACGAUGAAGGUCUUCGGAUCGUAAAGUUCUGUUGUUAGGGAAGAACAAGUACCGUGCGAAUAGAGCGGUACCUUGACGGUACCUAACGAGGAAGCCCCGGCUAACUACGUGCCAGCAGCCGCGGUAAUACGUAGGGGGCAAGCGUUGUCCGGAAUUAUUGGGCGUAAAGCGCGCGCAGGCGGUUUCUUAAGUCUGAUGUGAAAGCCCACGGCUCAACCGUGGAGGGUCAUUGGAAACUGGGGAACUUGAGGACAGAAGAGGAGAGUGGAAUUCCACGUGUAGCGGUGAAAUGCGUAGAUAUGUGGAGGAACACCAGUGGCGAAGGCGACUCUCUGGUCUGUUUCUGACGCUGAGGUGCGAAAGCGUGGGUAGCAAACAGGAUUAGAUACCCUGGUAGUCCACGCCGUAAACGAUGAGUGCUAGGUGUUAGGGGGCUUCCACCCCUUAGUGCUGAAGUUAACGCAUUAAGCACUCCGCCUGGGGAGUACGGCCGCAAGGCUGAAACUCAAAGGAAUUGACGGGGGCCCGCACAAGCGGUGGAGCAUGUGGUUUAAUUCGAAGCAACGCGAAGAACCUUACCAGGUCUUGACAUCCUUGGACCGCCCUAGAGAUAGGGUCUUCCCUUCGGGGACCAAGUGACAGGUGGUGCAUGGUUGUCGUCAGCUCGUGUCGUGAGAUGUUGGGUUAAGUCCCGCAACGAGCGCAACCCCUAAUCUUAGUUGCCAGCAUUCAGUUGGGCACUCUAAGGUGACUGCCGGUGACAAACCGGAGGAAGGCGGGGAUGACGUCAAAUCAUCAUGCCCCUUAUGACCUGGGCUACACACGUGCUAC
RNAcentral lists this ribosomal RNA (1173 nucleotides) under Halobacillus sp. PS24. RNAcentral's name for it is "bacterial SSU rRNA". It matches the Rfam family "Bacterial small subunit ribosomal RNA", at positions 71 to 1228 of the family's 1533-position model. Lineage: Bacteria; Bacillati; Bacillota; Bacilli; Caryophanales; Bacillaceae. The record is from RNAcentral.